RNAcentral lists this ribosomal RNA (483 nucleotides) under uncultured bacterium. RNAcentral describes it as "partial 16S ribosomal RNA". It matches the Rfam family "Bacterial small subunit ribosomal RNA", at positions 28 to 507 of the family's 1533-position model. The record is from RNAcentral.
AUUGAACGCUGGCGGCAUGCUUUACACAUGCAAGUCGAACGGCAGCGCGGGCUUCGGCCUGGCGGCGAGUGGCGAACGGGUGAGUAUUGCAUCGGAACGUGCCCAGUAGUGGGGGAUAGCCCGGCGAAAGCCGGAUUAAUACCGCAUACGACCUGAGGGUGAAAGCGGGGGACCGAAAGGCCUCGCGCUAUUGGAGCGGCCGAUGUCGGAUUAGCUAGUUGGUGGGGUAAAGGCUUACCAGGCGACGAUCCGUAGCUGGUCUGAGAGGACGACCAGCCACACUGGGACUGAGACACGGCCCAGACUCCUACGGGAGGCAGCAGUGGGGAAUUUUGGACAAUGGGGGCAACCCUGAUCCAGCCAUGCCGCGUGCGGGAAGAAGGCCUUCGGGUUGUAAACCGCUUUUGUUCGGGAAGAAAUCCUCUGGGCUAAUACCCCGGGGGGAUGACGGUACCGGAAGAAUAAGCACCGGCUAACUACGUG